Long non-coding RNA from Rhea pennata, 928 nucleotides. RefSeq lists it as uncharacterized. The record is from RefSeq and is a predicted model, not a curated record. The transcript has 3 exons. NCBI's taxonomy places the organism in Eukaryota, Metazoa, Chordata, Aves, Rheiformes, Rheidae.
AAGAAAGGCAGCGCGCGCCAUUGUUAUGAAUGUGGAUAGAGGGUGCCCAAAGAAGGUGUUGGCAGCCAAGAGAGCUGAGCUGUAAAAGGGGACAUCUUGAAGAGAAGUGGCUACAGAGCUAGAACCAACGAUAGUAAAUGCUGACGGAGAGGAAAGCUGGACAAGCGGUCUUUUUGUGAUUAAUACCUAAGGGACGAAGUGAAUGAAAUGAGGAAGCAAAAAUGCAGUAGACCCCUGAUAUCCCCAGCAACUGCUGCAGAAGGAGGUGUUCUGCCACGGGCAAGUAAGAUAGAAAGGGAAGGAUACAAUACUUACACUUUCAGACGAAUUGCCACGGCUGAAGUUGAAGAGACCAGAAAAACGUAAGCAAGCUGAGGUGCGAAAACCACGUGGAACCAGCCAAGAGCCGUCUCCAUCUCCCGCAAACAAAAGCCCGUCCUUCCUGACUAGGAAGGCUCACUGUUAGUAGCGAUCGAAAUAAUAGAUCACAGACGUAUAACGAAGGUCUGUCCGCCUUACAGCAAGUAUGCUACGUACGUGUGUUUCUGUGCGUGUGACUUCACAUGUUUGUGAAAGAUCCUAGUUUAAAAGCUAUGAGACUGCAAAUUAUUAUCUUAGGGGAAUGAUACUGAAGUAGCCAAGGUUUCUGAAGAAGAGAGGGAGAAAGAGAGAGAGGGAGAAAGUGCACGAACUGUAAAAUUAAGAGAUGGUUUUCAGAGAUGGUUUUACCUGCCGCCUCGGGGGCUGCAGCGGGAGCUGACCCUUCCCCAACGGACGGACGGACGGUCGGACAGACGGACGCUGGCGUGGCGAUGACUCUUCAGGUGUCACGGGAUAAGGGGAAGCGUGCCGGCACCGAGCUCCAUGGCAGGCUCGCUCCCAGGUGGUGUUUCUGCCCAGUAAAACAAUAAACAGCCGCUUUAUUCUU